GCAUGUGAAACACUGCAGAGCCACAACUACUGCCUACCAACGCACCACCAAUGUAAAGUAAUACGUCUAAUGUCUAAUCAAAGGAAGGCGUCACGUACGUGAAUGAGGAACUGGUUUUCAGGUCCAACACGGGAAAUGGUGAUCUACAACUCGAGCACACAAUCCGCCGCCUAUUGUACGAAACAUGAACCUGAGACUGGACACAGCGCAAUAUAACUUUGUUGAACAGUAAUCUUCGUGCGACCAAAACUCUGUACCAUGCCGGGAAGCUGCUAGCCGGGUUCCAACCUUCUACCUUGGCCAUCAGUAGGCGAACAGGUUACCAGCCGACCACAUCACCAACCGACCAAAGAAAGAAUGGCACAGAGACACGACAGCACAAUUAGCACUUGGACCAAACCUCGGCCAAAGGAGUGACCGCAGCAAGACCGACAGGAAACGAAGACUCCACAGGGCCUAACAGUCUCAUCCGUGAAGAGUCGUCGCCCAUUUGUUAGGAAGGCGAACUGACAGUCCCAAGGGACCGCACGUAACGGCAUGUGUUGUUGAAGCAAUCGAUAGUCCUCUAAUCCAGAUAGAGGUGGUAUGGGCAAGAUGGAAGGAGAAUUAGUUUAUUUAACGAGCCGUCGAAAAUAAAGUAAAAGAGGUGCGAAAGUAAAGCUUGAACCCGGACUCCGGGCCUCGGUCACUUCUGCCACGGGUAAAAAUCGAUGUCCAGUGCUGGACAAAAAUUUACGGAA
Molecule: long non-coding RNA, 740 nt
Organism: Ornithodoros turicata
Lineage: Eukaryota; Metazoa; Arthropoda; Arachnida; Ixodida; Argasidae
Exons: 3
Source: RefSeq, a predicted model, not a curated record